UUAAGCGACUAAGCGUACACGGUGGAUGCCCUGGCAGUCAGAGGCGAUGAAGGACGUGCUAAUCUGCGAUAAGCGUCGGUAAGGUGAUAUGAACCGUUAUAACCGGCGAUUUCCGAAUGGGGAAACCCAGUGUGUUUCGACACACUAUCAUUAACUGAAUCCAUAGGUUAAUGAGGCGAACCGGGGGAACUGAAACAUCUAAGUACCCCGAGGAAAAGAAAUCAACCGAGAUUCCCCCAGUAGCGGCGAGCGAACGGGGAGGAGCCCAGAGCCUGAAUCAGUGUGUGUGUUAGUGGAAGCGUCUGGAAAGGCGCGCGAUACAGGGUGACAGCCCCGUACACAAAAAUGCACAUGCUGUGAGCUCGAUGAGUAGGGCGGGACACGUGGUAUCCUGUCUGAAUAUGGGGGGACCAUCCUCCAAGGCUAAAUACUCCUGACUGACCGAUAGUGAACCAGUACCGUGAGGGAAAGGCGAAAAGAACCCCGGCGAGGGGAGUGAAAAAGAACCUGAAACCGUGUACGUACAAGCAGUGGGAGCCUCUUUUAUGGGGUGACUGCGUACCUUUUGUAUAAUGGGUCAGCGACUUAUAUUCUGUAGCAAGGUUAACCGAAUAGGGGAGCCGAAGGGAAACCGAGUCUUAACUGGGCGUUAAGUUGCAGGGUAUAGACCCGAAACCCGGUGAUCUAGCCAUGGGCAGGUUGAAGGUUGGGUAACACUAACUGGAGGACCGAACCGACUAAUGUUGAAAAAUUAGCGGAUGACUUGUGGCUGGGGGUGAAAGGCCAAUCAAACCGGGAGAUAGCUGGUUCUCCCCGAAAGCUAUUUAGGUAGCGCCUCGUGAAUUCAUCUCCGGGGGUAGAGCACUGUUUCGGCAAGGGGGUCAUCCCGACUUACCAACCCGAUGCAAACUGCGAAUACCGGAGAAUGUUAUCACGGGAGACACACGGCGGGUGCUAACGUCCGUCGUGAAGAGGGAAACAACCCAGACCGCCAGCUAAGGUCCCAAAGUCAUGGUUAAGUGGGAAACGAUGUGGGAAGGCCCAGACAGCCAGGAUGUUGGCUUAGAAGCAGCCAUCAUUUAAAGAAAGCGUAAUAGCUCACUGGUCGAGUCGGCCUGCGCGGAAGAUGUAACGGGGCUAAACCAUGCACCGAAGCUGCGGCAGCGACACUGUGUGUUGUUGGGUAGGGGAGCGUUCUGUAAGCCUGCGAAGGUGUGCUGUGAGGCAUGCUGGAGGUAUCAGAAGUGCGAAUGCUGACAUAAGUAACGAUAAAGCGGGUGAAAAGCCCGCUCGCCGGAAGACCAAGGGUUCCUGUCCAACGUUAAUCGGGGCAGGGUGAGUCGACCCCUAAGGCGAGGCCGAAAGGCGUAGUCGAUGGGAAACAGGUUAAUAUUCCUGUACUUGGUGUUACUGCGAAGGGGGGACGGAGAAGGCUAUGUUGGCCGGGCGACGGUUGUCCCGGUUUAAGCGUGUAGGCUGGUUUUCCAGGCAAAUCCGGAAAAUCAAGGCUGAGGCGUGAUGACGAGGCACUACGGUGCUGAAGCAACAAAUGCCCUGCUUCCAGGAAAAGCCUCUAAGCAUCAGGUAACAUCAAAUCGUACCCCAAACCGACACAGGUGGUCAGGUAGAGAAUACCAAGGCGCUUGAGAGAACUCGGGUGAAGGAACUAGGCAAAAUGGUGCCGUAACUUCGGGAGAAGGCACGCUGAUAUGUAGGUGAAGCGACUUGCUCGUGGAGCUGAAAUCAGUCGAAGAUACCAGCUGGCUGCAACUGUUUAUUAAAAACACAGCACUGUGCAAACACGAAAGUGGACGUAUACGGUGUGACGCCUGCCCGGUGCCGGAAGGUUAAUUGAUGGGGUUAGCGCAAGCGAAGCUCUUGAUCGAAGCCCCGGUAAACGGCGGCCGUAACUAUAACGGUCCUAAGGUAGCGAAAUUCCUUGUCGGGUAAGUUCCGACCUGCACGAAUGGCGUAAUGAUGGCCAGGCUGUCUCCACCCGAGACUCAGUGAAAUUGAACUCGCUGUGAAGAUGCAGUGUACCCGCGGCAAGACGGAAAGACCCCGUGAACCUUUACUAUAGCUUGACACUGAACAUUGAGCCUUGAUGUGUAGGAUAGGUGGGAGGCUUAGAAGUGUGGACGCCAGUCUGCAUGGAGCCGACCUUGAAAUACCACCCUUUAAUGUUUGAUGUUCUAACGUUGACCCGUAAUCCGGGUUGCGGACAGUGUCUGGUGGGUAGUUUGACUGGGGCGGUCUCCUCCUAAAGAGUAACGGAGGAGCACGAAGGUUGGCUAAUCCUGGUCGGACAUCAGGAGGUUAGUGCAAUGGCAUAAGCCAGCUUGACUGCGAGCGUGACGGCGCGAGCAGGUGCGAAAGCAGGUCAUAGUGAUCCGGUGGUUCUGAAUGGAAGGGCCAUCGCUCAACGGAUAAAAGGUACUCCGGGGAUAACAGGCUGAUACCGCCCAAGAGUUCAUAUCGACGGCGGUGUUUGGCACCUCGAUGUCGGCUCAUCACAUCCUGGGGCUGAAGUAGGUCCCAAGGGUAUGGCUGUUCGCCAUUUAAAGUGGUACGCGAGCUGGGUUUAGAACGUCGUGAGACAGUUCGGUCCCUAUCUGCCGUGGGCGCUGGAGAACUGAGGGGGGCUGCUCCUAGUACGAGAGGACCGGAGUGGACGCAUCACUGGUGUUCGGGUUGUCAUGCCAAUGGCACUGCCCGGUAGCUAAAUGCGGAAGAGAUAAGUGCUGAAAGCAUCUAAGCACGAAACUUGCCCCGAGAUGAGUUCUCCCUGACCCUUUAAGGGUCCUGAAGGAACGUUGAAGACGACGACGUUGAUAGGCCGGGUGUGUAAGCGCAGCGAUGCGUUGAGCUAACCGGUACUAAUGAACCGUGAGGCUUAACCUU
RNAcentral lists this ribosomal RNA (2901 nucleotides) under Escherichia coli O169:H41. RNAcentral's name for it is "bacterial LSU rRNA". It matches the Rfam family "Bacterial large subunit ribosomal RNA". The record is from RNAcentral. Lineage: Bacteria; Pseudomonadati; Pseudomonadota; Gammaproteobacteria; Enterobacterales; Enterobacteriaceae.